GAAGCGGACAGACACGCCCCUUCUUUCCUUUCCUCUCAACGCCCAGCGUCCGCCAAUGAGAAUCCGCCUUCCUCUCUGGCGUCAUCGGUCUCCGGGCAGGAACGCCCCCGCCCCGCCCCCCGCCCCGCCCUUCUGCCGUUAACGGUCACUCCAGGAAUCGGCCAAUGGGAAUCGUCCUCGUCUCUCCGCGUCACCCGUCUCCGGGCAGACUCGCCCUGGGCCGGACUCUCCUGGCCGGCUCCUCAUGGCAGGCAGGCUGCCCGAGGAAGCGCCGGGUGAAGCGGGGAAGGGGGGGCCAGGCCAAGGAGCGGGAGGCGCCUCUGCGUGGAGAUGGAGAUGGAGAUGGGCGGGGAGGAAGGGAGGCCGGAAGGGAGGCCUUGAGGCGAAGGGCCAGGCAGGCCAAGGCCGGAGGGGGGCGCGGGGGGAGACUCGGGGACCCACUCAGCCCCCCCCCCCCGAACACGCACACGCACACUCACCCCUCCUCCUCCUCCUCCUCCUCCUCCUCCGCUUCCUCCUUCCUCUCCCUCCCGCGCUCGCUCUGACAGGAAAAGGCGCCUCUCGUCCUGAGUCUCUCUAGGAAGACGCCUCCCUCCUCGGUGGACUUCCGCCCGGGCUCAACAUGGCAGCCGCGGGCACGAUGCCCAGAGAGGGGCGGGGCUUCUCGGCAGUCGAACGGAGCUCUAGACAGAGAGAGACGCUCCUCCUUUCUUUUCUUCCCAACGCCCAGGGUCCGCCAAUGGGAAUCCGCCUCCCUCCCUGACGUCAUCCGUCUCCGGGCAGAAUCUUCCCCGGCCCUUUCCUUCGCCGUUCCGCCAUGAACGGCCAUUCCCGGGACCUGAGGGCCAAUCUUUACCUCAGCUUGAAGGGUGGAAAGAACAUUGGAUGCCAAAAGGAAAGCCCAGGCCCCGGGAUGAGAGACAUGGCCUCGGGGUUGGGGAGAUCCACAGGGCCUCGGAGACAGAAGCGAACGCCCUCUUCUCCUCAGGACCUUCUGGCCUUCCCAGGAGAUCCGGCCUCCUUCCCGCCUCCUCUUCCCGUUCUUUGCAGGCAUUUCAUCUCAUCAUCACGACUGCCAGAUGGAUCCCAAAUAUCCGCUCCAUUGGUUAGUCAAUUAGGAUUGUCUGGAUGAUAAUUCACUAUGUUACAUUUUCAUCUUUUCUUCUUUCAACACUACACAAAUAUGUGUUUCUAUAUAUGUGUCGCUCUAAAAUAUCUAAUUAACGAGGCUUGCCACCUUCUAUAUUCUAAUCAAAGAGUGUUGAUAGGUCAGUUAUUCAAAGUCUCUUGAAUAAAGAGUUUAGAGAUAGUACAAAAUGUAACUGUAUACUAUUAAUAAUAUUUUACUCAACUGAUCCUGCCGUGGUCAUCUUCCUUUAUUUACAGUAUUUAUAUUCCGCCCUUCUUUCUCACCCCGAAGGGGACUCAGGGCGGAUUACAAUGAACACAUAUAUGGCAAACAUUCAAUGCCAACAGACAAACAACAUUCAGUUUUAGACAGACACAGAGGCAUUUUUUAACAUCUUUCCAGCUUCACGAUUUCCGGCCACAGGGGGAGCUGUUGCUUCACCGUCCAUUGGUGGCUGUUCUUCCUCUUCUUUUCCUCGUGAGCAGUUUUAUGGUGUUGUAGAUUAGUUAAAUUAGCCUCCCGCAUAAAGCGUCCCUAAAUUUUCCCUACUUGACAGAUGCAACUGUCUUUCGGGGCUGCUAGGUCAACAGCAAGCCGGGGCUAUUUUUUUUUUUUUUAUGGUCGGAGGCUUAACCCGACCCGGGCUUCGGACUCAUGGCCUCUCGGUCAGUAGUGAUUUAUAGCAGCUGGUUACUAGCCAGCUGCGCCACAGCCCGGCCCCUUUGCUUCUUUGUGAAUUCAAUGAAGGGCGUCCAUUCUUCUUGGAAGUCUCUGUGUAUUUGUUUGUUGUACAGCUAAAGUUAGUUUGUCCUAUUUGGCCAUUUCAAAACCUUUUGUCAUCCAGUUUUCUGGUGUUGGCAUGUCUUGUUGUUUCCAUAGUUUUGCGUAUUCAGUUCUUGCUUCUGUUGUCAUAUAAAGAAAGAGUCUUUCUUGAUGUUUCCCAGUAGAAAAAGUUCUGGUCUUAAUGGGAUUUUGUACUCUAGAAUAGUUUCCAUGUCUCUGUGGAUUUUUAUUCAGAAUUCGUUAGCUUUUGGACAAGUCCCAACAUAUCAUAUAUCUCUCUCACUGUGUGUGUAUUUGAGAGUUUUUCUGGAGUUAUGUACCAUCUAUGUAUUAUUUUGUAGAAAUUUUAUUUAAUUGUGUGACUCCUUGUAAAUUUUAGUCAUUUUUACCAGAGCUCUUCCCAUUCUCAUGGACUUAUUGCCCAGCCUAGACUUUUCACCCACUGACUCAUAGGUUCUUUUAUUUCUCCAUCAAUUGUAAAAUCUUUCAGAAGAAAUUGAUGCAGCUUCCCAGUUGGCUUGUUUUUUUGUCUGUAGCAGUUGGUUCCGCUGAUUCUCCGAUUCUUGUCUACCCAUUUUGUUGUCUAGACGGAGUCUCUGUUGGAGUCAGUUAUAAUGAAACCAUGUCAUUGUUGAGUCUUCUUUAUGUUUAUUUAUUACAAAGAAACAAAAUUACAAUAUUACAACAUUUCUACCCCGCCCUUCUCACCCAUCAAGGGGACUCAGGGUGGCUUACAGUAUAAAACACAUAUAUCAAAUAAUUACAGUCACAUUUCAAAAUUCCAUUUAAAUUAAGUUACAUUCAGACCUUCAUAAAUAUACAUUUAAAUAAACAUUCAAGGUGCAUUUCAAGUACAAACCGGGUCUGUCAUUAUACCUUGGAUCAUAUAGUUGCCAUUUCUGCUGCUACUAUUGCUCAAAAGCCUGGUCCCACAACCUUUCUGCCUUUC
RNA transcript from Anolis carolinensis (green anole), 2861 nucleotides. It is a transcript of the gene named zinc finger and SCAN domain-containing protein 18-like, with no coding region annotated. Lineage: Eukaryota; Metazoa; Chordata; Lepidosauria; Squamata; Anolidae. The transcript is spliced from 2 exons. The record is from RefSeq and is a predicted model, not a curated record.